RNAcentral lists this transfer RNA (83 nucleotides) under Bacteroidota bacterium. RNAcentral's name for it is "tRNA-Ser". It matches the Rfam family "tRNA". From Rfam's summary of the family: Transfer RNA (tRNA) molecules are approximately 80 nucleotides in length. Their secondary structure includes four short double-helical elements and three loops (D, anti-codon, and T loops). Further hydrogen bonds mediate the characteristic L-shaped molecular structure. tRNAs have two regions of fundamental functional importance: the anti-codon, which is responsible for specific mRNA codon recognition, and the 3' end, to which the tRNAs corresponding amino acid is attached (by aminoacyl-tRNA synthetases). tRNAs cope with the degeneracy of the genetic code in two manners: having more than one tRNA (with a specific anti-codon) for a particular amino acid; and 'wobble' base-pairing, i.e. permitting non-standard base-pairing at the 3rd anti-codon position. RNAcentral also lists the same sequence under 1 other name. The record is from RNAcentral. Lineage: Bacteria; Pseudomonadati; Bacteroidota.
GGAGAGCUGGCAGAACGGCUAUUGCACCGGUCUUGAAAACCGGCGCCCGCAAGGGCUUGCAGGUUCGAAUCCUGCGCUCUCCG